RNAcentral lists this ribosomal RNA (252 nucleotides) under uncultured bacterium. Its description in RNAcentral is "partial 16S ribosomal RNA". It matches the Rfam family "Bacterial small subunit ribosomal RNA", at positions 524 to 776 of the family's 1533-position model. The record is from RNAcentral.
UACGUAGGUGGCAAGCGUUGUCCGGAUUUACUGGGCGUAAAGAGCGCGCAGGCGGCCAAGUCAGUCGAAUGUGAAAGCCCCGGCUCAACUGGGGAAAGUCAUUCGAUACUGCUCGGCUUGAAGAUAGGAGAGGGAAGCGGAAUUUCAGGUGUAGUGGUGAAAUGCGUAGAUAUCUGAAGGAACACCAGUGGCGAAGGCGGCUUUCUGGCCUAUUCUUGACGCUGAGGCGCGAAAGCUAGGGGAGCGAACGGG